UACGUAGGGUGCAGGCGUUAAUCGGAAUUACUGGGCGUAAAGCGUGCGCAGGCGGUUUUGUAAGCCAGAUGUGAAAUCCCCGGGCUUAACCUGGGAAUGGCAUUUGGGACUGCAAGGCUCGAGUGCGGCAGAGGAGACUGGAAUUCCUGGUGUAGCAGUGAAAUGCGUGGAUAUCAGGAGGAACACCGAUGGCGAAGGCAGGUCUCUGGGCUGACACUGACGCUCAUGCACGAAAGCGUGGGGAGCAAACAGG
Molecule: ribosomal RNA, 253 nt
Filed under: uncultured bacterium
Lineage: Bacteria
Description: partial 16S ribosomal RNA
Rfam family: Bacterial small subunit ribosomal RNA
Source: RNAcentral